RNAcentral lists this ribosomal RNA (279 nucleotides) under uncultured bacterium. Its description in RNAcentral is "partial 16S ribosomal RNA". It matches the Rfam family "Bacterial small subunit ribosomal RNA", at positions 506 to 784 of the family's 1533-position model. The record is from RNAcentral.
UGCCAGCAGCCGCGGUAAUACGAAGGGGGCUAGCGUUGUUCGGAAUCACUGGGCGUAAAGCGCACGUAGGCUGACUGGUCAGUUGGGGGUGAAAUCCCGGGGCUCAACCUCGGAACUGCCUUCAAUACUGCCAGUCUUGAGUCCGAGAGAGGUGAGUGGAAUUCCGAGUGUAGAGGUGAAAUUCGUAGAUAUUCGGAGGAACACCAGUGGCGAAGGCGGCUUUCUGGACCGAUACUGACGCUGAGACGCGAAAGCGUGGGGAGCAAACAGGAUUAGAUA